This 253-nucleotide ribosomal RNA is filed under the name uncultured bacterium. RNAcentral's name for it is "partial 16S ribosomal RNA". It matches the Rfam family "Bacterial small subunit ribosomal RNA", at positions 524 to 776 of the family's 1533-position model. The record is from RNAcentral.
UACGGAAGGGGCAAGCGUUGUUCGGAAUCAUUGGGCGUAAAGGGCGCGCAGGUGGCUCUGUAUGUCUGCCGUGAAAGCAUACAGCUCAACUGUAUUGUGUCGGUAGAAACUGCAGGACUUGAGUCCGGGAGGGGCGAGUGGAAUUCCUGGUGUAGCGGUGAAAUGCGCAGAUAUCAGGAGGAACACCAAUGGCGAAGGCAGCUCGCUGGAACGGUACUGACGCUGAGGCGCGAAAGCGUGGGGAGCAAACAGG